CAGUCGCCGCGGUAAUACGGAGGGUGCAAGCGUUAAUCGGAAUUACUGGGCGUAAAGCGCACGCAGGCGGUCUGACAAGUCAGAUGUGAAAUCCCCGGGCUUAACCUGGGAACUGCAUUUGAAACUGUCAGGCUGGAGUCUUGUAGAGGGGGGUAGAAUUCCAGGUGUAGCGGUGAAAUGCGUAGAGAUCUGGAGGAAUACCGGUGGCGAAGGCGGCCCCCUGGACAAAGACUGACGCUCAGGUGCGAAAGCGUGGGGAGCAAACAGGAUUAGAACCCCAGUAGUCCCUGUCUCUUAUACA
This 301-nucleotide ribosomal RNA is filed under the name uncultured bacterium. RNAcentral describes it as "partial 16S ribosomal RNA". It matches the Rfam family "Bacterial small subunit ribosomal RNA", at positions 509 to 808 of the family's 1533-position model. The record is from RNAcentral.